UGAAGAAAUAUUUAUAACAUCUCAUUGUUUUGGUAAUAACAAAUUUGUUCUCCUGGAUUUCUGAUGAAUCCAUUGGCAAACGUAGACCGUUACAACAAGGGUCAAAAUAUAGAACAUAGAUCCACGUUUGAGAAUCUGUCACGAGCCAACACUAUAGACUAUAGUUUCUCUAUAAAUAAUACACAUACAAAAACCUCACCGUUCCCUAGGCAAGCAUAAUACAAACAAAAAAUGAACAGACCGACAAA
This 248-nucleotide long non-coding RNA is filed under the name Linum usitatissimum (flax). RNAcentral's name for it is "long non-coding RNA (LUSI_LNC000681)". The record is from RNAcentral. Lineage: Eukaryota; Viridiplantae; Streptophyta; Magnoliopsida; Malpighiales; Linaceae.